This 253-nucleotide ribosomal RNA is filed under the name uncultured bacterium. Its description in RNAcentral is "partial 16S ribosomal RNA". It matches the Rfam family "Bacterial small subunit ribosomal RNA", at positions 524 to 776 of the family's 1533-position model. The record is from RNAcentral.
GACGAACCGUGCGAACGUUGUUCGGAAUCACUGGGCUUAAAGGGCGCGUAGGCGGGCUCACAAGUCAGGGGUGAAAUCCCACGGCUCAACCGUGGAAGUGCCUUGGAUACUGGCGGCCUGGAGGGAGGCAGGGGCGGAUGGAACUUCCGGUGGAGCGGUGAAAUGCGUUGAUAUCAGGAAGAACCCCCGUGGCUAAGGCGGCUCUCUAGUACGGUACUGACGCUGAGACGCGAAAGCGUGGGGAGCGAACAGG